CUGGUGGGCACUUGUCCAUAUGGUGG
This 26-nucleotide non-coding RNA is filed under the name Homo sapiens (human). The record is from RNAcentral. Lineage: Eukaryota; Metazoa; Chordata; Mammalia; Primates; Hominidae.